UCCGAAUUGGUGUAGUGGCUAACAUUUGGUGCUCUCAUUGUAUGUAUAAUUUGGUAUUUUUCUGAAUAUCGAAACAAACACUCGACUGAUCCGCCAAGCCCGGGGUUCGAUUCCCCGAUUCGGAG
Non-coding RNA from Annulohypoxylon bovei var. microspora, 125 nucleotides. The record is from the annotation of a GenBank genome assembly. NCBI's taxonomy places the organism in Eukaryota, Fungi, Ascomycota, Sordariomycetes, Xylariales, Hypoxylaceae.